Molecule: ribosomal RNA, 451 nt
Filed under: uncultured bacterium
Lineage: Bacteria
Description: bacterial SSU rRNA
Rfam family: Bacterial small subunit ribosomal RNA
Source: RNAcentral
CGGCUUCCUACGGGAGGCAGCAGUGGGGAAUCUUGCGCAAUGGGGGAAACCCUGACGCUGCGACGCCGCGUGGAGGAUGAAGGCCUUCGGGUUGUAAACUCCUUUUCUCAGGGAAAAUGGUGAUGGUACCUAAGGAAUAAGCCACGGCUAACUCUGUGCCAGCAGCCGCGGUAAGACAGAGGUGGCGAGCGUUGUUCGGAAUCACUGGGCUUAAAGGGCGAGUAGGCGUCCUGACAAGUCAGGUGUGGAAUCUUUUCGCUUAACGAAAAAAUUGCAUUUGAAACUGUCGGGAUUGAGUCAGUGAGGGGAGGGCGGAAUUCCCGGUGUAGCGGUGAAAUGCGUAGAUAUCGGGAGGAAGGCCGGUGGCGAAGGCGGCCCUCUGGCACUGAACUGACGCUGAGGCGCGAAAGCGUGGGGAGCAAACAGGAUUAGAUACCCCAGUAGUCCAAGC